CUUUUGCUGGCGGCCGGCGCACGGGUGAGUAACACGUAUCCAACCUGCCCUUUACUCGGGGAUAGCCUUUCGAAAGAAAGAUUAAUACCCGAUAGCAUAAUGAUUCCGCAUGGUUUCAUUAUUAAAGGAUUCCGGUAAAGGAUGGGGAUGCGUUCCAUUAGGUUGUUGGUGAGGUAACGGCUCACCAAGCCUUCGAUGGAUAGGGGUUCUGAGAGGAAGGUCCCCCACAUUGGAACUGAGACACGGUCCAA
RNAcentral lists this ribosomal RNA (251 nucleotides) under uncultured bacterium. RNAcentral's name for it is "partial 16S ribosomal RNA". It matches the Rfam family "Bacterial small subunit ribosomal RNA", at positions 78 to 334 of the family's 1533-position model. The record is from RNAcentral.